UGCAGCAGGUGUCUCUCUUUGAGGAAAAACGAGGAAAUGCAGCAUCUUUAGUUUACAGAUGAGGAAAAGAUAAUCAUUUCCCACAUGAAGACCAGAAAACGAUCCAAAUCGGGUGAAAAUAACGCGGUACUUUAUUUUAAAUCAUCAAAGAUGCAACCGUUCACAUAUUUUCAAGCAUCCGUGGCAGUAAUGGCGGAGGAUCCGGUUACAGUUCUCCGAUCAGCUGCUGAUCAGAUGGAUUGAUUCUGUGUCCGAUCGUCCGAACCGAGUCAUCCUCCGAACCGAGUCAUCAUCUGAACCGAGUCAUCACCCGACUGAAGGCGGAUUACAGCGCGUUCGUGACGCGAGUCUAAAGCGGUGUAAUCAUGGAUGUGUUCGGCUUUCUCAAUCUAAACGAGCUCGCUCUGGGGCUGUCAAACCUCUCCAUGUUCCCCUACUUCGACAUGGCGCAUUAUAUCAUAUCAGUGAUGAGUCUGAGAGAGCAGCCAGGUUGUCAACACUUUUGACAUGAGCGUUUGUCCUCACAUCUUUAGUGCAAGUCAAACUCAUAACAUUUGCAUGUUAUGUUUAUGUUUAUUUUUUUAUUUUGAAUUUGUUAAUAAUCCGAGAUCUCUUGAUCAGUUGCUUUAUAAUAAUUAGAUAUAUUUAAAACAUCAGUUAAACAUCAGUUUUAAAGCAGUCAAAACACUGUUUAUCAAUGUCUUUAUGAAUGUCAAUAUGUGCACAAUGAGGUUUCUGUUCUCUUUAGAACACAUUGAUGUUUGUGAUGAUUCUGGAGCAGGUCAGUGUGUGUUUAAAUAAGUGUGAAAGCAGAAGUUACACGAUCAAAGGCCAGAGGAAAGAGAAGUGCAUUUAAUCAUUAACUCUCUGUCUAUAUUGUCUCUGUUUCUCUCACAGAAGCAUGCAGAUGUGUGGUUAAACAUGCGUUAGUGCUGCAUGCAGGGUGGAGGCACAAGUUCUGUUUGCCUGGUCGUUUGCAUUAACCAAACAUGCAUUUGCAUUGACCGCAGUGUGUUUGUCCAGUGCUGAGACCAGCCGUUUGCUCCUGCGCUGGGGUUUGUGUUGAGCAGUAAUGCAUGUGCUCUAUUGUAUCGCAGCAGCUGCAGUAAAUCACAGGCUAUUUUAGAAACUCUGACCUGCGUGGCAUCCCGUUCUCUUCUAUUGUCCAGCACUGAACUAUCUGGAGAGGGAAUGAGACCCAACACGUCCUGGUGUUUAGAUCCAGUGGGAAGAGAGUGUCAGGAAUGUUUCAGGUUAAAUGUGUUUCUGUUUUACCUGCAGAAUACUGUCUCUUACAUGAUCCAGAGACUGACAUCCAGUGCAUCUAAUAAACCUGCAAUUACUGUUAUAGUCUGUUUUCCAGGAAGAGAGACUGAAAGUGGUGUGUUUUUGUCAACGUUUAGAAGCCCACUAGCAGAUAGAUGUCAGACACUGCUGAAAAAAACUUUCUUUGUUUGUGCAUUGAUCAAUUUUGUAUGGAAGCCCGUUUCCGCCGCAGAUUCAAUUUUUUAUUUUAAUAUUUUACAAUUAUUUUAAAAAGGUUAUUCUCACUUUUUUCACAGAAUUGUAAAAUAUAAAUGU
Molecule: long non-coding RNA, 1581 nt
Organism: Carassius auratus (goldfish)
Lineage: Eukaryota; Metazoa; Chordata; Actinopteri; Cypriniformes; Cyprinidae
Exons: 3
Source: RefSeq, a predicted model, not a curated record